GCCGAAGUAGCUCAGCGGUAGAGCAACGCACUCGUAAUGCGUAGGUCGUGGGUUCAAAUCCCAUCUUCGGCUCCA
RNAcentral lists this transfer RNA (75 nucleotides) under Thermincola carboxydiphila. RNAcentral's name for it is "tRNA-Thr". It matches the Rfam family "tRNA". Rfam says of the family: Transfer RNA (tRNA) molecules are approximately 80 nucleotides in length. Their secondary structure includes four short double-helical elements and three loops (D, anti-codon, and T loops). The record is from RNAcentral. RNAcentral also lists the same sequence under 2 other names. Lineage: Bacteria; Bacillati; Bacillota; Clostridia; Eubacteriales; Thermincolaceae.